This 112-nucleotide microRNA precursor is filed under the name Bigelowiella natans CCMP2755. RNAcentral's name for it is "miRNA EPrBNAG00000013193". Lineage: Eukaryota; Cercozoa; Chlorarachniophyceae. The record is from RNAcentral.
UAGUGAUUAUGAUAAUGAUGAUAAUGAUGAUGAUGAUAACACAACAUAUCUAUAUUGGUUUGCUAUACCGUCACCGACUUCAUCAUCAUCAUCAUCAUCAUCAUCAUCAUAA